This 1719-nucleotide long non-coding RNA is filed under the name Macaca mulatta (Rhesus monkey). Its description in RNAcentral is "lncRNA (ENSMMUG00000052631.1)". The record is from RNAcentral. Lineage: Eukaryota; Metazoa; Chordata; Mammalia; Primates; Cercopithecidae.
GACAGUUAUAAUGGUUUUAUUUUAGGAAUCAUUUAUUGUGUUUUAUUCCAGUUAUAAAAGUAGUGCAUGCUAAUUACAAUUUGAGAAAUACAGAAAAGCAUAAAUAAAAACAUAGAAAUCACUGCCAUCAAGAGAUAUCUCCACAACAUUUGGAAAGUCUUUUCUUUUUGUUACAAGCAGCAAAUAUACUAUCUAUGUGUAUAUAUUAAACACCACUUUCAAGUCACUUUAACUGUAAAUUAGUGUGACUUUAAUAUCCCUGUCAUAUUUAAAACAUGACUUAAUUGUGUAACAUUCAAAGUUGUUAAUGUGUUGAUCCACUCCCUUAUUAUCAAGUUUAAUUUUUUUAAUUGCACAGAAUGCAAUGAUAAACAUACACAUGUAAUUUAUUAUGAGAAUCUCUUGCUUAUUUCCAUCUGAUAAAAAUCCUACAAGCAGCCGGGCGCGGUGGCUCAUGUUUCAUUUUUAAUAGGAAAAAUCUUUAUUUUUGAGACAGUAUCACUCUGUCGCCCAGGAUGCAGUGCAGUGGCGUGAUCUUGGCUCACUGCAACCUCUGCCUCCCGGAUUCAAGCAAUUCUCCUGCCUCAGCCUCCCCCAUAACUGGGGAUUAUAGGAACACGCUACCACGCCCAGCUAAUUUUUGGAUUUUUAGUAGAGAUGGGGUUUCCCCAUGUUGCUCAGGCUAGUCUCGAACUCCUGACCUCAAGUGAUGCGCCCACCUUGGCCUCUCAAAGUGUUGGGAUUACAGGCGUGAGCCAUCGCACCCAGUCUGAAAAGUCUUUAGAUUAGGAGUAUUCCAGCUGGACACGCGGUUCAAGCCGGUAAUCCAACACUUUGUGAGGCCAAGGCUGGAGGAUCGCUUGAGCCCAGGAGUUCGAGACCAGCCUCUCUACAAAAAAAUAGUAAAUAAACUAGCCUGAGGCAGCGCAGACCUCUCAGGGUGUCCCGAGAUGGGAGGAUCACCUGAGUCCAGCGAGAUCGAGACUGCAGUGUUCGCGCCACUGCACUCCAGCCUGAGCAACAGAGUAAGACCCUGUAUCAAAAACAAACAAACAAAAAGUCUUCUGGUGCAAGGCCUCACUGUAAGGUCCCUGGGUUCAAUGCUCCGCGUUCUGGGAUGUGAAUGUGGAAAAGUAAGUGCCAAGGUGGGUGUCUACCUGAGCUCCGUAAGGACUCGGUACUUAGGAUGCGAGCAUGGCUUUGGGUUCCAUUCCUGACCCUCUGUGGCCUCAGUCUCCUCCCGGGAGAGGAUGAAAAGCACAAGUCGGAUGCACUCUAUAGUGAUCGCUGUGAGAGUCAUUAUGAGUCUUACUCGCUCGACUCCGACAAACUCAAGGCCAAGCUAUGGAGUUCAUCUCAUGCUGACACCGUCAGUUCUGAGCGACUGUAAAAUGGGGACAGGGUGGCCCAGGGGCCUACUGACCUGAGGCUGGGGCCCGCGACAGCCCAGCCGCUGGGGGCUCCUUGUGGCCGCUGCGGGGUCAGCCUGCGGUCUCCGCCUGACUUUAGCUCUCCUGCGCCCCGCAGGUCCUGGGCGCUACCCACGUCAGUGAGUGCUCACAAGUCUGUGAGGUAGGCGGCGCCACAGAGAGAAACUGAGGUGCGGGAGCCCAAGUCACCUGUCCAGCUCCUCAGCCGAGCGUGAACUGCGCUCGGGGAUGGCAUCCACACGGCCCGGCCCCACGCUCUCCCAGUCAGCGCCCGAGGGCCCUUCGCACC